UCUUUUUCUUAGCCAAUGAGCAUUAACCUCCACCAUUGAUGAAUUAAAUCCAACGGUUAAGAUUUUCUCCUUCUUUUCUUUUUUUUUUGGUUAAAACUUCUUUUCCUUUUGCCUCUUCUCUUCGUAUGAGAAAAUCAAAGGUCCCAAAAUCAAACUCUGCGAAUCUUGAGCAAGCGUAUCGCUCCCUCAUCUCCGCUUCCAGAGGUUUAUCUCGCACUCUUAGCCCUUUUCUUCCUGAAUCUCAGCCUCCGCCACCGCAAUUAGAAUCCCAAUCCCCUUCUACGGUGGUUAGCUCGUUCCUAGCUCCGGUGACGCCAUCGCCUCCAUCUCAGGAGGAAAUUCAAACCAGAAGAAGGAACAGAGAAGAGAUUCGAAGAGUGCAUGACUGCUAUAAGCGUCUCAAAUCUUCUAUUGGUCAGAGAGAUGGUGGUGGGUGCUCUGCGAAUCUUGAGCAAUUAGAAUCCCAAUCCCAAGAUGAAGGUACUUAUAAUAAGAAGAAGACGAAGCAGGAUGAAGCUUCCCUCAAGGUUCCGUCAGAUUUGCAGUCAGAUUUUGAAUUGAAAUCGAUCGAAUUGAAUUCUCUGAAGAGGACUUGGAACUAAAGCAGAACCUUGAGCUCUAUGUCGAGAGGGUUCAGGAUCCCAAUCCCGAGUUGCAGAAGGCUGCUCUUGAAAGCAUGAGUUUCUUGUUCUCUGGUAGUGGUGAAGAUGGACUCAGAGAGGGAGUUUCUAGUUACGUUUCUAUGCACUAUUGUGUUGGAACUCUUUUAUUUUCCUGAGCUAUCUCUUUGGGGAUUGUUGUUGUGUGGUUUGUUGCUUUAUAUUGCUGUUAGAGAGUUGGACUCUGUGUAUUCAGAUUAUCAAGAGAUUGGGAUGGAAUCGCCCGAGUCGUUUUCCACCAUGUUUAUGAAGCCUAUCCACCAGCCGAUGUGCAAGAUAUUGCACCUACACAAGUGACUCUUCUUCUGAUUGAGCUAUCUAGUGCCAGAGGAGGAAGAUGAAGAUAGGAGACAAGGGCAGAUGAAUAGGCAUUCUAUGUAGAGGAGAUGUAUUGGUCUUGUAUUUUUAAUUGAUGUAGUAUUUUUAUAAAAGUUUUUGUAUAUUAUUUCAUGUAAUAAUGAUAAUAAAAUAUUGUAUUUUUUAUUUUUGAUAUGUAAUUUUAAUCCAAAAAUCACAGUAAAGA
Molecule: RNA transcript, 1182 nt
Organism: Arabidopsis lyrata subsp. lyrata
Lineage: Eukaryota; Viridiplantae; Streptophyta; Magnoliopsida; Brassicales; Brassicaceae
Exons: 3
Source: RefSeq, a predicted model, not a curated record